ACGGAAGGCAGCAGUGAGGAAUAUUGGUCAAUGGGCGCGAGCCUGAACCAGCCAAGUAGCGUGAAGGAUGACUGCCCUAUGGGUUGUAAACUUCUUUUGUGCGGGGGUAAAGUGUCCCACGUGUGGGAUAUUGCAAGUACCGCACGAAUAAGCAUCGGCUAACUCCGUGCCAGCAGCCGCGGUAAUACGGAGGAUGCGAGCGUUAUCCGGAUUUAUUGGGUUUAAAGGGAGCGUAGGCCGGUCGAUUAGUCAGUUGUGAAAUCCUGCCGCUCAACGGCAGCAUUGCAGUUGAAACUGUCGACCUUGAGUGGGGCAGAGGCAGGCGGAAUUCAUGGUGUAGCGGUGAAAUGCUUAGAUAUCAUGAAGAACUCCGAUUGCGAAGGCAGCUUGCUGGACCCUAACUGACGCUGAAGCUCGAAAGUGCGGGUAUCAAACAGGAUUAGAUACCCUGGUA
RNAcentral lists this ribosomal RNA (454 nucleotides) under uncultured Bacteroides sp. RNAcentral's name for it is "bacterial SSU rRNA". It matches the Rfam family "Bacterial small subunit ribosomal RNA", at positions 341 to 792 of the family's 1533-position model. The record is from RNAcentral. Lineage: Bacteria; Pseudomonadati; Bacteroidota; Bacteroidia; Bacteroidales; Bacteroidaceae.